This 1414-nucleotide long non-coding RNA is filed under the name Penaeus japonicus. RNAcentral describes it as "uncharacterized LOC122247541". Lineage: Eukaryota; Metazoa; Arthropoda; Malacostraca; Decapoda; Penaeidae. The record is from RNAcentral.
GCCAUACUCACGUUACAUUCUCUUAUCACUUCCUACCCAGAUAAGGCAUACCAGCAACAGCCAACCAACAAGGCUGAAAAUCAUACCGCAUAUGCACCGGACAUCAACCCUACUAGCAGGACAGGCCCUACCCACCCCCCUGCCCACCAAGAGAGGGCCUCGUGUGGCACUCUCUCCCUCACCACCAACACACACAGCACAACAAAGGCAAUUUAGGAGCUGAAAGAUGGAUGACUACACUUCAAAGCUAUGGGUAGUUGAAACCCAGAUGGGAGGCUGAGGAAAGGACAUCAUAAGUUAGGACUGGCCUCAAACCAGGGAGUCAUGCCUGUGCCAUGGAGUUCCUUUACCUUCUAAAGCAGAAUGCACAGAGAGCAAUGGUAAGAUAAGUAAGACAUUACAGAUAACUUAGUUCUCAUGAACUGUGGUAGAUUUGAAAAGGUUACAAAGGAAAAUUAACAGAACUUUGCCUCAAACGUACUUAGGUUGAUCUUAUGUACCAGUACCAGAAAAUAUGCCUGAAAUUAUAUAUAUAUAUAUAUAUAUAUAUAUAUAUAUAUAUAUAUAUAUAUAUAUAUAUAUAUAUAUAUAUAUUUACACACACAGAAAAAGAUAUGACUAUAAAUAUGAGAAAUAAGUUUCAUAAAAACUGAAUCAUAUUUCAAAAAACAUUAGGAAAAGAAAUCUUCAUCAUGCAGUUCAAUCCUUCUAUAUUCAACAACAAACAGAUCAUUCUACGUCCAUUGCUAUUGUAAUUUGAGCAAACUGAAACAGACAUUCAAAAUAUUGACUAUCUCUCCCUCAGCAAUAAUGAAAUCCAAUUCAGAGAAGAUCAAAGUUACAGGGUAUUCAACAUGCAUCUAUCCCUCACUUUACCUUGAGAGAGUAUGUGACAAAUUGGAACAAAAUUCUUAUACCAUUAGAUCUCAUAAAUUUCUUAUCAUAUAAAAGGAACUGACAAUACAUUCACAACAAAAUUAAUCAUUCAUGAAAACAGAUGCAAAAGAAUCAUUAAAAGAAACUCAAUGCAAUCACAAUCAAAAUACAUAAAAGAUAUAAAACCACCUCCCUAUCUAUCACAUACAUGGUAAUAAAACAUCGCACAGCAGGGCUGAUUCCACCAUAUCAGACACAGCAAUAAAUAAAAGGGGACACAUGUAUAAUGGAGUUUAUCAUCUUUUGUUGUGGGAAUAUUGACAAGAACUCUAGCCAGAAAUAUGAAUAAAAGAAAAUAGAUUGUCAAUGGCUAUGGGAAUUGGCAGGAGGGGGGAGGGAUGAAGGAAUCAAUGAAAAGCAACGGUUUUUCAAUACUUCGAGAACGGUACACCGAAGAACGGCAUACCGAGUUGUGUGUGUACUCACAAUAACUGUAAUCAAUCUCUUCUCUCGGGAAUAAAUUUUUUUCGCAACUUAA